GUGCCAGCAGCCGCGGUAAUACGAAGGGGGCUAGCGUUGCUCGGAAUUACUGGGCGUAAAGGGAGCGUAGGCGGACAUUUAAGUCAGGGGUGAAAUCCCGGGGCUCAACCUCGGAAUUGCCUUUGAUACUGGGUGUCUUGAGUAUGAGAGAGGUGUGUGGAACUCCGAGUGUAGAGGUGAAAUUCGUAGAUAUUCGGAAGACACCAGUGGCGAAGGACACACUGGCUCAUUACUGACGCUGAGGCUCGAAAGCGUGGGGAGC
RNAcentral lists this ribosomal RNA (262 nucleotides) under uncultured Caulobacterales bacterium. Its description in RNAcentral is "partial 16S ribosomal RNA". It matches the Rfam family "Bacterial small subunit ribosomal RNA", at positions 505 to 769 of the family's 1533-position model. Lineage: Bacteria; Pseudomonadati; Pseudomonadota; Alphaproteobacteria; Caulobacterales. The record is from RNAcentral.